GAUGAACGCUGGCGGCGUGCCUUAUACAUGCAAGUCGAGUGGGUUUAGACCCACGGCAAACGGGUGAGUAACCCGUAGGUUCUUUCCUUGUCACAGGAAUAACCCUCCGAAAGGAGGGCUAAUACCUGAUGUGAUCGCAAGAUUAAAGGGUAUCCGCAAGGAUUACCGGACAAGAAGAGGCCUGCGGCCUAUCAGCUAGUUGGCGGGGUAAAUGCCCACCAAGGCUAUGACGGGUAGCUGGUCUUAUGAGGAUGAUCAGUCACAUGGGCACGGAGACACGGGCCCAACUCCUACGGGAGGCAGCAGUAGGGAAUUUUGCGCAAUGGGCGAAAGCCUGACGCAGCGACGCAGCGUGCGGGAUGAAGGCCUUCGGGUCGGAAACCGCUUUUAUAAGGGACGAACUUUGACGGUACCUUAUGAAUAAGAGGUUGCUAACUCUGUG
Molecule: ribosomal RNA, 442 nt
Filed under: uncultured bacterium
Lineage: Bacteria
Description: partial 16S ribosomal RNA
Rfam family: Bacterial small subunit ribosomal RNA
Source: RNAcentral